GAUGAACGCUGGCGGCGUGCCUAAUACAUGCAAGUCGAGCGAACGGACGAUACGCUUGCUUCUCUGAUGUUAGCGGCGGACGGGUGAGUCACACGUGUAUACCCUACCUAUAAUUCUGGGAUAACUUCGGGAAACCGGCUCUAAUACCGGGUAAUCUUUUGCACCGCAUGGUUCAAAAGUGAAAGACGGUCUUUCUGUCACUUAUCGCUGGAUCCGCGCUUCAUUAGCUAGUUGGUACGGUAACGGCUUACCAAGGCAACGAUGCAUAGCCGACCGGAGAGGGUGAUAGGCCACAUUGGAACGGAGACACGGUCCAGACGCCUAAGGGAGGGAGCAGUAGGGAAUCGUCCGCAAUGGGCGAAAGUAUGACGGAGCAACGCCGCGUGAGUGAUGAAAGUCUUCGGAUCGGAAAAAUCGGUUAUGAGGGAAGAACAGAUGUGGAAGGAAAUGUGGACAGAGUGACGGUAACGAAUAAGAAAGCCACGGCUAACUACGUG
Molecule: ribosomal RNA, 497 nt
Filed under: uncultured bacterium
Lineage: Bacteria
Description: partial 16S ribosomal RNA
Rfam family: Bacterial small subunit ribosomal RNA
Source: RNAcentral